This 441-nucleotide ribosomal RNA is filed under the name uncultured eukaryote. Its description in RNAcentral is "SSU rRNA". It matches the Rfam family "Eukaryotic small subunit ribosomal RNA", at positions 587 to 972 of the family's 1831-position model. The record is from RNAcentral.
AGCUCCAAUAGCGUAUAUUAAAGUUGCUGCAGUUAAAAAGCUCGUAGUUGAAUUUCUGGUUUCGGUGCCCUUAGGUCGCAUCUUUUCUGCUUCUUUUCCUUCGGGGAAGGAGGUCAGAGAAGGUUGUGUGUUCUGAGGUUCAGCGCCGACCAUCCUUUCUGGAAGGUCACUCCUGCCCUUUACUGGGAUAGGGGGUGAAACAAACUUUCUGGAUCAUUUACUGUGAAAAAAUUAGAGUGUUUAAAGCAGGCUUUACCUAGCAUUUGAAUACAUUAGCAUGGAAUAAUAAGAUAGGACUCCGGUUCUAUUUUGUUGGUUUCUAGGAUUGGAGUAAUGAUUGAUAGGGAUAGUUGGGGGUGCUAGUAUUCAACGGCCAGAGGUGAAAUUCUUGGAUUCGUUGAAGACUAACUAAUGCGAAAGCAUUCACCAAGGAUGUCUUCU